ACAUGGGUGUCUCACCCAAAACUUGAGAACUUCAAUCACACAAUACUUAACGGAACUUCGUGAGAAGGGUUAGUGUAAUAAAGAUAGAUGAUUCACUUAGGUACUGCCACGUCAAGAUUCAUAAUUGUUCCCACAUGAUACCUACUGUAUUCUAUCAUUACCAUAAUUUAUAUUACUGAAUAUAAGCUAUGGGAACAUUAAAAUAAGCAAACUAUGCAUGCAAAACAGAAUCUAUCAAAAACAGAACAGUCUG
This 253-nucleotide long non-coding RNA is filed under the name Hordeum vulgare. RNAcentral's name for it is "long non-coding RNA (HVUL_LNC008772)". Lineage: Eukaryota; Viridiplantae; Streptophyta; Magnoliopsida; Poales; Poaceae. The record is from RNAcentral.